Molecule: long non-coding RNA, 746 nt
Filed under: Anser brachyrhynchus (Pink-footed goose)
Lineage: Eukaryota; Metazoa; Chordata; Aves; Anseriformes; Anatidae
Description: lncRNA (ENSABRG00000001940.1)
Source: RNAcentral
GAAAAACAAAACAAAACAAAAACAAACAAAAAAAACACUAUUUCUUGAGGCACUGCUAUUUUCAUUUUACAGUCAAGAAAGUCAAAAAUUUAGAAAGGGGCAAGUUCAAGAUCUAAGAAGAAUGAAGAGAGCAUAAGCUACCUUAUUUUCCACUGAGUGCCUUUUCUGCAGUGUGAAACAUCAAACUUUAUUACCAUUGACAGCAAUUAUAGCUUAAUUGAAUAAAUAAGGAAGAAGAAGAUUAUUGAUUAGCAGAGGAGCCUUUUUUUCUUUUUUUUUUUUUUUCUUUUCAGAUAUUUUGGAAUUCUUCUAUGAAGGGAAUGCAGAGGAGAAACAAUGAAUAACUGUAUUGAAUACACAUCGCCAACUCUACUCCUUUCCGUUGAGUCAAAGCUGAUUGCCAGUCCCUGUGGCAAAGUGUGUGUGUUGCAAUCUGGAGUUGCAGAGGGAUGGAGUUACACCAGAGACAAAGGUGUGGAGUCUGACCUCUCCAGCAGCAGACUACUUCGGCAGACUGUAGAAGAACUGUGUGUAAUUAACACCAAAAAGAAAUUGAUUUGAGAAGACAAAGGCUCUCAUCAAAGGAUAACAUGGUAAGGAAAAAGACAAGGCUGUUGAUAAAACUUUAAUGGGAACUGGCAAAAAAGAACCGCCACAGCUGUAAAUUUUGGCAUAAUGUUGAGUGUUAUUAGAAGAGCAGAGUCAAACUGUGCUAUGUUAAGAAAUUUGCUUCUCUUCUAUGAUUU